GCGUCCGUAGCUCAGCUGGAUAGAGUACCUGUCUACGAACCAGGCGGUCAGAGGUUCGAAUCCUCUCGGACGCG
This 74-nucleotide transfer RNA is filed under the name Vibrio cholerae O1 biovar El Tor str. N16961. It matches the Rfam family "tRNA". Rfam says of the family: Transfer RNA (tRNA) molecules are approximately 80 nucleotides in length. Their secondary structure includes four short double-helical elements and three loops (D, anti-codon, and T loops). RNAcentral also lists the same sequence under 1 other name. Lineage: Bacteria; Pseudomonadati; Pseudomonadota; Gammaproteobacteria; Vibrionales; Vibrionaceae. The record is from Rfam by way of RNAcentral.